RNAcentral lists this unclassified non-coding RNA (442 nucleotides) under Hevea brasiliensis (rubber tree). Lineage: Eukaryota; Viridiplantae; Streptophyta; Magnoliopsida; Malpighiales; Euphorbiaceae. The record is from RNAcentral.
CAAGUAUCUCAUUGUUUACAGUUGGUUCUGAAAUAUUUUUAAUUUUCUUGUCAUCAUUUUCUUUCACAAGUGCUACAAUGCUGUCUCCCUUGUUUGCAGAUGAAUCACAAGGAGCUUGACACACUUCUUUAUCCUUUGUGCAGUCCUGACCCAUUUUUUUUGUUACUACUUCAAGAGGUUCAAGUCCGCCUUCUGUAUUACAAGCAUCCACUGCUGACACAGAAUGAUCAACUGGCUCACACAUCAUCUGCUCAGCAGCAGCAAAAGAUUCUUUUUCAGAUUCAGAAACAGGAUCUACUCUAGUCGUCACUUGACAAGAUGCCUUGUGAUCACAUAAACUUGUUUCCGUGGAAAUCUUGGCAACAAUUUCUUCCUCUCUAUCUGAGCAAGUAAACACUACAGGUAAACCAGACACUUCAACAUCCUUGUGAUCAAUUACUGC